CGGGGCUUAAAGUCUUGUAAUUGGAAUGAUGGGAAUUUAAACCUCUUCCAGAGUAUCAAUUGGAGGGCAAGUCUGGUGCCAGCAGCCGCGGUAAUUCCAGCUCCAAUAGCGUAUAUUAAAAUUGUUGCAGUUAAAAAGCUCGUAGUUGAAUUUCUGCUGCAUUGCUUGUGUCCCUCUGUGGUCUGUGCAUGUGGCUUUUUUCGGACGGAGUUUCUUUGUCUGAAUGUUUACUUUGAGAAAAUUAGAGUGCUCAAAGCAGGCUUUCGCCUUGAAUAGUUUAGCAUGGAAUAAUAAAGUAGGACUUUGGUUCUAUUUUGUUGGUUUUAGGUACCAAAGUAAUGGUUAAUAGGAACAGUUGGGGGCAUUCGUAUUUAACUGUCAGAGGUGAAAUUCUUAGAUUUGUUAAAGACGAACUACUGCGAAAGCAUUUGCCAAGGAUGUUUUCAUUAAUCAAGAAC
Molecule: ribosomal RNA, 458 nt
Filed under: Theileria annulata
Lineage: Eukaryota; Apicomplexa; Aconoidasida; Piroplasmida; Theileriidae
Description: SSU rRNA
Rfam family: Eukaryotic small subunit ribosomal RNA
Source: RNAcentral